CGAGCGCAACCCUUGUCCUUAGUUACCAGCACGUUAUGGUGGGCACUCUAAGGAGAACUGCCCGGUGGACAAACCGGAGGAAGGUGGGGAUGACGUCAAGUCAUCAUGGCCCUUACGGCCUGGGCUACACACGUGCUACAAUGGUCGGUACAAAGGGUUGCCAAGCCGCGAGGUGGAGCUAAUCCCAUAAAACCGAUCGUAGUCCGGAUCGCAGUCUGCAACUCGACUGCGUGAAGUCGGAAUCGCUAGUAAUCGUGAAUCAGAAUGUCACGGUGAAUACGUUCCCGGGCCUU
This 293-nucleotide ribosomal RNA is filed under the name uncultured Pseudomonadaceae bacterium. Its description in RNAcentral is "partial 16S ribosomal RNA". It matches the Rfam family "Bacterial small subunit ribosomal RNA", at positions 1093 to 1382 of the family's 1533-position model. The record is from RNAcentral. Lineage: Bacteria; Pseudomonadati; Pseudomonadota; Gammaproteobacteria; Pseudomonadales; Pseudomonadaceae.